CACCAAAACCACUGGCACCCACCGAUCGACGAUUGAAAGAAAAAUCAGACGCCUGUUGCGCCUACCAGGCGAUCAGACAACUCAGCGCGUGACGCUGUAGAAACGGUGCUUUCUUUUUCGACGGGUCAACGAACCCGGGCUCCAAAUUUCGGAGAUCGUUGACCGCCCCGGUGGUGGGAGAGUAAGAGAGACGGCAGUUGGUGGUGAGAGAGAAACAGCGAGCGAACUGCGAACGGAACAAGUCUGAGUGAGAGGGUGAGUGGAAUAAGAGAGGGAGACAAGUUGCUCGUGUUCAGCGGCAGAGAGACCGCUGACACACUUACACUUUUGAUUGCCUCUGCAAUCAGUUUCACAGUACGCACUAGAUAGGGG
This is a non-coding RNA of Drosophila melanogaster (fruit fly), 372 nucleotides long. NCBI's taxonomy places the organism in Eukaryota, Metazoa, Arthropoda, Insecta, Diptera, Drosophilidae. The record is from Ensembl.